Oryzias latipes (Japanese medaka) is the source of this 3570-nucleotide non-coding RNA. Lineage: Eukaryota; Metazoa; Chordata; Actinopteri; Beloniformes; Adrianichthyidae. The record is from RefSeq and is a predicted model, not a curated record.
GGGGAAUGGGGAUUGAACCGCCUUCCUUCGAUCAUUGGACGACCCGCUCAACCACCUGAGCCACUGCCGCCCUAUGCAGAAUUAAGACCUUUUUCUUGUCAGUUGUUCUGUAAAUCAAAAUUCAAAUAAAUGUAAAUAAUUUACUAGAUAAGCCUUUGGCAGCAUCAUCUUAAUCUCCCUUUAAUCUCCUCUGCAUGUUUUUUUUUCUUUAGUUUCUUUUGCUAAUUUAAUUAAAUGUUAUCUGCCAUUAAUAAUGUAUGCAGUUUUGGAGUAAACUACAUUUGGCUGUUAUUUCCAAUAUACUGUGCUGUUUAAAACAUGUAUUAGUAUCUGGUUGUAAUUCAGGGCGCUUUCUAUUUAUGUAUUGGCCGCCCUCCUAACCGGCCCUCAGAAAAACAUCAGUCAGCCUUUCAACAAAUAAAACAAUUUUUUUAGUAUUUCCUUUUACCACUACUGAAGCAGUUCUUGUCAUGUCAUUGCCUUGGAUGUCUGUUGAGUACACAGCCCACGCACCCUUCAAUCCAUGCCACCUUUCUAACAGGUCAGUGAAAUAAUCUGUCUCUAUUGGCUCUGGGGCUGAUACUGGAUAGGGAGUUUAAAUGCAUGUUCAUUGAGAACAAAGCGGUUUCACCUCAUAGGCCCUAUGAGUUUGCAAUAGACCCGUUACCAGGUACAGAACCACACCACCUCAAGGGUGGUUAUACUCCCUGUCUGUUCCAGCCCGACCAACAAGUUGUAUUUGGCCAUCCACAUUGUUUUUUGGUCAAAAUGGCACCAAGGACAAACCAGUUGAUGCUGACGAUGGUUUUUUUUUCUUCUUUUUUCUAGAACUGUGCAGUAGAAUUAAGGAGUAUUCCUUUCAUUUUAGUAAAUUAAUGUUUAAACAUUGAAUCCCUGACAUCGACUGCUGCAGUAUGCAAAACAAAAACAGCACUUCUGUCCAAUUUUUUGCAAUGUUGCUGAGACCUGAGCAGUUGCCAGUGUGGCUGCAAAUCCAUACAACCUGCACUUACCUCUGAAAACCAAUUAAGACUUCAAUGAAAGUGUUAAUAAUUCUUCUAUGCAUUUUUAUGGACUAAAACCCAGAUAAGGAUCCAGAAGAGCAACGUGAGGCUACAUCAAAGUGACCACAUGGAGAUCCAAUUAGCUGGUUGGUGCUAAGAUGAUCAUCAUCUGGGUCUUUGCUUCCCAUUUCUUCAUUUCUACACCUUGUUAUGAUAACUAGAAGUACAGAAAUUGACUUAAUAACUGAAAUGUGUCUUUCAUAAUCUUUGUGUCCUGUGAUCAAUAUCUGGCUAAGCUAUAUGUUAGCCUUUACACUUGACAGACCUGCUUUUGUUUUAUAAAAAGAUAAGUAGAAAACUAAGUGAAAUAAAAUGGCAGUGCAUCAUAAAGUGAUGAUAGUAUUGCAUAUUUUCUACUUGAAGAACUGGUUAAAUUUGUUUUUACACUCAACAUGGCCAGUCAGAUUUGACUUUUAAAAAGCAUUUGAAUUUUUUUUUAUACUCUUGUUCAUCUUUUUUUAAUAUUUAAUUUGUCCUUUGUAUUUUAACUCUCAAACCUUUACACUAGAUUUUUGAAAAACUUGUUCAUCACUUGUUUGCUUUGGUAGAUACAAAAGGGAUGGCAGAACUUCUAAGGCAGCGGCUGAACCAAAACUGAGGAAGUUGCUGUCUGAACAAAACUAAAAAAUUUUUUAGUUUUUCUCAGAGCUCAUUGUUGUUGAUCCACCAGUUAUUUGGUUUGACUGGCUUGUGCUUGUGAAGACCAAACAAAGACUCUCAGACAGGAACCUUUUUUUUUCCUAAUGGCAGGCUUAAUAAAAUGUAUUUUUUCAUGAAUUUCUGAGUUUAGUCUCACUUUAAUGUCAGUACCCAUUAGUCAGGAUUGUGUCACACAAAUCACAAAUACAAUGAUUUUAACAACUGCUUUAAGCUAAAUUUCAAAGGAAACCUCUGUUUUUGAGAAAAGUGUCCCUAAAUUAAGCCUGGAGCCGCAGGACGUGUCAUAAAAAUGGAACGUACCAUUGUUGAGGAUGUUAUUAAGUAUUUGUAUGGCUAAUAAAAGUUACAUGCAAUUAUGACAUAUGGGCGAUGCUGUCGUCCAGUGUUCUUAUGCCACACUCUGGUCAUUACUAAGGUGUGAGUACUGUCCCUUCCUUACCGUGCGUGAAUGCUGAACUCACAGGAUCUGCACAUGAUAUGCAAGUGCCUGUAGGAUGCCCAGGAUGUCCACACAAACUGUCCUCUUAUUGUCUACUUUUAACAGUCAGGCUACAAGCAAAGGAUUGCUCACUUAUCCCAUGAAGAGCACUGACGGACUCCUCGUGCAAUCUGCAAGGUUUGGGGUGUUGAAAAUAAUUUGUAUGAUACAUCUGUGUCUCACCUACUUCACCCUACUUCACCACCACUUACCCUUAAAUGUUGCAUCAGUGUUCAUUACAACCUGUUGCCAGGGGCAUGCCCAUCAUAAAACAUAUGCAUAAACAUUUUCACUUUACAGGUUCACUGAGCGGUCUGCAACCUUGUGUGCCCAUUUUUCCCCUGCAGACAGCCCGUAUCCACCCACAAGGCCAGUUGUGACUAAGAUUUAAUAAAUAGUUCACCCCUAUUUAGCUAAAAACGAAGGUCUGACAGAUUUCUGUCAAAUGAGCUUAAGAAUAAAAGUAAAAUAAAGUUAGUCAUGUGGGUAUUGUUUUUGAGAAGAAAAGGAAUAGAUUCCAAUGACAUGUAAAUGAUUAACCCUUGUGCUUUCUUAGAUGACCCCACCCUUACAUUGACGUGUUCUCCCUACCAUGACAAAGGUGGAAUCACAAAUCAUUGAAGAAAAAAGGUUCAGCGCACUGUCUAGUGGGUCUAGAUGACCCAACUCCCAAUGUUAAAGUGCCUAGGGUUAAAGGGUUGGACUGUAGGGACUGUAAAUAGUAAAAAAAAAAAAAACAGAUCUUUUUACUCCAGUCUGUUCUCAUUUCAAACUCCAACUGAGCAGAUGCUGUAACUGUGUUGUGUUUUUUAGUCAGUUUAAUCCACUCCUGAAAGUACUGUUAAGCUGAAGCAGGUCAAAGUGUCACAUGACUGUUCAAAUUGAGAUUUUUUUAAUUGCUCUGUUAUCUCAGCAUCAUUGUUUGUGUCACGGUGGCCUCUGUCAGUGCUCCUCCCCCUCCCCUCUCUCUGUGCACCUGAAGAUUGGAACCAGCUGUGGACACUCUGCUCAUCACCUCACCGACUUCUUAAGGGGAUCCAGCCCAGCAGUCAUCGCCAGUCCGUUGCCUACCUCGGUUUCCAAAUCCACGAGUGUCCACCUGGGAGAUCUUCAGCUCGCUCCACACCAGUCUCGCCUCGAAGUCACGCCACGUUCCUCGCUCACCUCGGGUCCCAAGACAUCAGGCAGCGCGCAGCGAUCCGCACCGCACGUCUCGCUCGCUCCGCUCCAGCCACGCCAUGCUCUCAGCUUAGCUCUCAAGUCCCUACGAGCUACGCCGACUCCUCGCCAGAGAUCCAAGCUAGCAAGAAGUAACAACCAGAACUGUUAUCUCCUGCCUGGAUAUUAAAGACUCUUUGUUUAUCGCUA